UUGAAAAAUUUUUGUAGUGAAAGAAGAUUUAAUUUAUUGUACCUUGUGUAUCAGGGUUUAUUAAAUAAUUAAUAGAAAUUUAUGAUCUCGAUUUUAUAAGAGUUAAUAAUUUAUUAAAGUUAAUGUGUCAAAAUUAUUUUAAAUAAAUUAUUAGAAAUGAGAUGUUAUUCGUUUAUAAAGGUAUCUAGUUUUUUUAGAAAUAAAUUUAAUUUACAAGUUUUUGAUUUUUUGGUUAUUUAAUUAAUUAAAAUAUUUAUUAACUUGAAUAUCUUAAGGGAUAAGCUUUAAGAUAAAUUAUUAAAAAUUAAUAGUGGUAGUAUAAAAUGUAUGCUUAGAAUUAGUAAUCAUUAUAAAGUUUGUUAUAAAUUAUUUUAUUAAUUAUAUUAUUUAUUAUAUUUUAAUUUAUUUAUAAAAAUUGUUUUAUUAAUAAUUUAUAAAGGGGAAUAAUGAUAGAAUUAGUAUAUGUUUUGUUUAGAUAAUUUUUUAUGUUAAGUUUAUAUAAAGAACUCGGCAAAUUUUUUACCCGCCUGUUUAACAAAAACAUGUCUUUUUGAGUUAUUUUUAAAGUCUGACCUGCCCACUGAAAUUAUUUAAAUGGCCGCAGUAUUUUAACUGUGCAAAGGUAGCAUAAUCAUUAGUCUUUUAAUUGAAGGCUGGUAUGAACGGUUGGACGAGGUAUAAGCUGUUUCAUAUAAAUUUAUAAUAGAAUUUUAUAUUUUAGUCAAAAAGCUAAAAUAUAUUUAAAAGACGAGAAGACCCUAUAAAUCUUUAUAUUUUGUGUUGUUUAAAUUUUUUGGAAUCGGUUUAUUUUUAUAAUAUAAAAUAUUUUGUUGGGGUGAUAUUAAAAUUUAAUUAACUUUUAAUUAUUUAAAAUCAUUAAUUUAUGAGUUAUUGAUCCAUUAAUAGUGAUUAUAAGAUUAAGUUACUUUAGGGAUAACAGCGUAAUUUUUUUGGAGAGUUCAUAUCGAUAAAAAAGUUUGCGACCUCGAUGUUGGAUUAAGAUAUAAUUUUAGGUGUA
RNAcentral lists this ribosomal RNA (1018 nucleotides) under Bactrocera oleae (olive fruit fly). RNAcentral describes it as "partial 16S ribosomal RNA". The record is from RNAcentral. Lineage: Eukaryota; Metazoa; Arthropoda; Insecta; Diptera; Tephritidae.